Suricata suricatta (meerkat) is the source of this 884-nucleotide long non-coding RNA. RefSeq lists it as uncharacterized. The transcript is spliced from 2 exons. The record is from RefSeq and is a predicted model, not a curated record. Lineage: Eukaryota; Metazoa; Chordata; Mammalia; Carnivora; Herpestidae.
CCAGUACUUUCCGAGGUGCACCGCGGACUCUGACUGGAAGUCCUGUCCAGGCUCGUCUUUCUAUUCCUCUUCCCUCACCAAGUGGAACGGAUUUACCAGGCAAUGGGCAAUGCAGGGCAGGCCUGCUGUGCCAGCCGCCGCCCCUCCCCUCCUCGCCCCGCCCCUCCCAGCCCCACAACGGAGGCAGAGAAGGCUCUGGUUCAUUUACCUCAGAGAAAGGACAAGAUGCCAAAGAAGACCACAUCCUGCCUGUCCCCAGAAGGAGGAGGCCGUGCGUGUGUAAGGAAUAACCCCACUGCCAACCUAACAGCCAGAAGAAGCCAGUCCCUCAUCCUGGGACGAAGAAAGGACCUGACAGGGAGAAGGAACACUGAGUGUCCAGAAUCUCUGAGAAAGCAGACGCUCACUCAUCUUUACGGGCUCAGCACCGCUUAAGUGCAUCUAUUCUUCCUGAGAAAGGCUGAGCGUCGUCUGCCGCGGUGAGGCCGCUCCCUGGCAUUAUCACCAUCCCCUUGUGAACCCUCCUGAGGGCAGCCAGGGGACCCUGCAGGCUCUGAAAUGGGUCUCAACGGAGCCCUGAUAAAAUCCCCUCAUGGCGAUCCCCACGCUCUAGCCGAAAAAUUCGCUCCCCAAUCUAUUUUCCAUCUUAGAUUUUUCCCAGGUAGGACAUUCAACAGAGCUCACUGGAGAUUAUGCAAUGAAUUCAAAUGACGGCAUAAAUCUAUUCCAAGUAAUAAAUGCCAGCAAUAUUAAAAUGCCCUGAUUUGAACUAUAUGAAAUGCCUCACAUUAUUAAAUUCUCAGGGAGGAAUUAAAGUCUUAAAAAAAGUUAAUAUCCUUUCUCUUGAAGGUUGAGCUCUAAAGAAAUUAAAAGUCCACAAUUAU